GAUGAAAACACAGAAGACGAAAGUGCAGCCAGCUAAGGCGGUGUUCACGUUAAAGAGAUGGUUUGAAUGGAAAUUCAAACACAAGCAAAGAACCAGACAUGGAUGAAGGGGGGUGAAGAGACUAAUCAAAAGGAAGUUUGUGUGUGAGGGAAGCAUAAAAAAGAAUACAACAGUUCAAAGAAGAAACGGUUGUCGGUUAAGGAGGUUAGGAAAAUGAAUGCAACAAAGGGCAGUUGCAGAAAACAACACACAAAAUCGUCGAUGAAACUAAUAGGUAUGUAUCCCAUGAUAUGCAUUUUGUGUAAAAAGACUUGUAUGUAAAUAUUUGUCGCAUCAAUAUCCAAAAAAUGGCGAAAACAAUAAAAGUUGUGACUAACUAAUGUGUAUAGAUUUAUAUGUUACAUUAACCAGUGUUACAUCUCUGAGUUGUGUACCAUUUUAACAUUAUAAAAUUUGCGCGCAUAAAAAAUGUUAAAUAUAUAUGCUACAUUAAGAGUGUACAUGUACACAUAUUUAUAUA
RNAcentral lists this long non-coding RNA (520 nucleotides) under Helianthus annuus (common sunflower). RNAcentral's name for it is "sRNA HanXRQr2_Chr08g0358471". Lineage: Eukaryota; Viridiplantae; Streptophyta; Magnoliopsida; Asterales; Asteraceae. The record is from RNAcentral.